Non-coding RNA from Ceratobasidium sp. 395, 104 nucleotides. The record is from the annotation of a GenBank genome assembly. NCBI's taxonomy places the organism in Eukaryota, Fungi, Basidiomycota, Agaricomycetes, Cantharellales, Ceratobasidiaceae.
GGGCAUGUAGUGUAGGGGUUAUCGCGCCUCAUUCGCACGUUCAGGGUUUGGACCCUGAGUCACGUGACUUGAGGAGGUCUCCGGUUCAAUUCCGGACUUGUCCA